AACGAACGCUGGCGGCGUGGAUGAGGCAUGCAAGUCGAACGGGAUCCAGCAGGUAGCAAUAUUUGCUGGUGAGAGUGGCGUAAGGGUGAGUAAUGCGUGGGUAAUCUACCUCUAAGAUCGGCAUAGCCCGGCGAAAGCUGGGAUAAUUCCGAAUGUUGUCGGCCGGUGCAUACCGGCCUGUCCAAAGCUGGGGACCGCAAGGCCUGGCACUUGGAGAUGAGCCCACGUCCUAUCAGCUAGUUGGUGAGGUAACGGCUCACCAAGGCUUACGGGUAGCUGGUCUGAGAGGACGAUCAGCCACACUGGGACUGAGACACUGCCCAGACUCCUACGGGAGGCUGCAGUCGAGAAUCUUUCGCAAUGGGCGCAAGCCUGACGAAGCGACGCCGCGUGUAGGAUGAAGGCCUUCGGGUUGUAAACUACUGUCUUUGGGGAGCAACGGCCGGGACGUUAAUACCGUACCGGAUUGAUAGUACUCAAGGAGGAAGCCACGGCUAACUCUGUGCCAGCAGCCGCGGUAAUACAGAGGUGGCGAGCGUUGUUCGGAUUUACUGGGCGUAAAGGGUGCGUAGGCGGUUCUGCGUGUCGGAUGUGAAAUCUCACUGAAAACGGUGAAACGGCAUUCGAAACUGCAGGGCUAGAGUGCAGGAGAGGAUGGCGGAAUUCUCGGUGUAGCGGUGAAAUGCGUUGAUAUCGAGAGGAACGCCGGUGGCGAAGGCGGCCAUCUGGACUGCAACUGACGCUGAGGCACGAAAGCUAGGGGAGCAAACAGGAUUAGAUACCCUGGUAGUCCUAGCCGUAAACGGUGUGAACUUGGUGUGGGAGGAAUUAUCCCCUUCCGUGCCGUAGCUAACGCGAUAAGUUCACCGCCUGGGGAGUACGGCCGCAAGGCUAAAACUCAAAGGAAUUGACGGGGGCCCGCACAAGCGGUGGAGCAUGUGGCUUAAUUCGAUGCAACGCGAAGAACCUUACCUGGGCUUGACAUGUAACUGCAAAUCCGGUGAAAGCCGGACUCCUUCGAGGGUGUUACACAGGUGCUGCAUGGCUGUCGUCAGCUCGUGCCGUGAGGUGUUAGGUUAAGUCCUGCAACGAGCGCAACCCCUGUGAUUAGUUGCUAGUCGCGCAAGCGAAGCACUCUAGUCAGACUGCCUGUGAUAAGCAGGAGGAAGGUGGGGAUGACGUCAAGUCAGUAUGGUCCUUAUGCCCAGGGCUGCACACGUGCUACAAUGUAGGGUACAGAGGGAUGCGAAUCCGCGAGGUGGAGCAAAUCCCAUAAAACCCUACUCAGUUCAGAUUGGAGUCUGCAACUCGACUCCAUGAAGCUGGAAUCGCUAGUAAUGGCGCAUCAGCUACGGCGCCGUGAAUACGUUCCCGGGCCUUGUACACACCGCCCGUCACAUCAUGAAAGCCGAUUGCACCCGAAGUCGCUGUUUCAACCCGCAAGGGGGAUAGGUGCCUAAGGUGUGGUUGGUGAUUGGGAUG
RNAcentral lists this ribosomal RNA (1482 nucleotides) under uncultured bacterium. Its description in RNAcentral is "bacterial SSU rRNA". It matches the Rfam family "Bacterial small subunit ribosomal RNA". The record is from RNAcentral.